GCUGACGAGCGGCGGACGGGUGAGUAAUGCAUAGGAAACUGCCCAGUAGUGGGGGAUAGCCCGGGGAAACCCGGAUUAAUACCGCGUACGCCCUUCGGGGGAAAGCAGGGGAUCUUCGGACCUUGCGCUAUUGGAUGUGCCUAUGUCGGAUUAGCUAGUUGGUGGGGUAAAGGCCUACCAAGGCGACGAUCCGUAGCUGGUCUGAGAGGAUGAUCAGCCACAUCGGGACUGAGACACGGCCCGAACUCCUACGGGAGGCAGCAGUGGGGAAUAUUGGACAAUGGGGGCAACCCUGAUCCAGCCAUGCCGCGUGUGUGAAGAAGGCUUUCGGGUUGUAAAGCACUUUCAGUGAGGAGGAAAACUCUGCGACUAAUACUCGUAGGGCUUGACGUUACUCACAGAAGAAGCACCGGCUAACUCCGUGCCAGCAGCCGCGGUAAUACGGAGGGUGCAAGCGUUAAUCGGAAUUACUGGGCGUAAAGCGCGCGUAGGUGGUUUGAUAAGCGAGAUGUGAAAGCCCCGGGCUUAACCUGGGAACGGCAUUUCGAACUGUCAGGCUAGAGUAUGGUAGAGGGUAGUGGAAUUUCCUGUGUAGCGGUGAAAUGCGUAGAUAUAGGAAGGAACACCAGUGGCGAAGGCGGCUACCUGGACCAAUACUG
Molecule: ribosomal RNA, 659 nt
Filed under: Marinobacter adhaerens
Lineage: Bacteria; Pseudomonadati; Pseudomonadota; Gammaproteobacteria; Pseudomonadales; Marinobacteraceae
Description: bacterial SSU rRNA
Rfam family: Bacterial small subunit ribosomal RNA
Source: RNAcentral